UACGGAGGGUGCAAGCGUUAUCCGGAUUUACUGGGUUUAAAGGGUGCGUAGGUGGGCGAGUAAGUCAGUGGUGAAAUCUCCGGGCUUAACUGGGAGGGUGGCAUUGAUACUGCGGGGCUAGAGUACAGAUGAGGUAGGCGGAAUUGACGGUGUAGCGGUGAAAUGCUUAGAUAUCGUCAAGAACACCUAUAGCGAAGGCAGCUUACUAGGCUGUAACUGACGCUGAGGCACGAAAGUGUGGGGAUCAAACAGG
Molecule: ribosomal RNA, 253 nt
Filed under: uncultured bacterium
Lineage: Bacteria
Description: partial 16S ribosomal RNA
Rfam family: Bacterial small subunit ribosomal RNA
Source: RNAcentral